Molecule: ribosomal RNA, 467 nt
Filed under: Limnonectes leporinus (giant river frog)
Lineage: Eukaryota; Metazoa; Chordata; Amphibia; Anura; Dicroglossidae
Description: partial 16S ribosomal RNA
Rfam family: Bacterial large subunit ribosomal RNA
Source: RNAcentral
AAGAGGUCCAGCUCCCAGUGAGACUUAAACGGCCGCGGUACCCUGACCGUGCAAAGGUAGCAUAAUCAUUUGUUUAAAUAAGGACUCGUAUCAACGGCACCACGAGGGUUAUACUGUCUCCCCUCUCUAAUCAAAUGACCUCCCCGUGAAGAGGCGGGGAUAAAAAUACAAGACGAGAAGACCCCAUGGAGCUUUAAACCCAAUAACAACCCCUUUUAAAAACAUCAAAAACUCUACGGUAAUUUUAUGGUUUUAGGUUGGGGUGACCACGGAGCAAAACAUAACCUCCUUGACGAAUUGAUUUCCCUAAUCCAAGAGCCACUGCUCUAAGAAUCAAAAAUGACGUAAUAUGAUCCGAACCGAUCAACGAACCAAGUUACCCUGGGGAUAACAGCGCAAUCCAUUUCAACCCUAUCGACAAAUGGGUUUACGACCUCUGUUGGAUCAGGGUAUCCCAGUGGUGCAGC